Molecule: long non-coding RNA, 721 nt
Organism: Ictalurus punctatus (channel catfish)
Lineage: Eukaryota; Metazoa; Chordata; Actinopteri; Siluriformes; Ictaluridae
Source: Ensembl
UGCAGAUGAAUCCACUCCAGCUUUUCCGUCUCGCAGCUGCUCGCUGUGAAAUUCAAUUAAUGACUCCGCUUCCCAGUUCUCUCUCCAGGGCACAUCUUCCGGCCCGCUCGCCCUCUGCUAGAAAUAGGAAAAUGCUAUAAUAACACAACACAAGAAAAAAAAAACACAGAGGCAACUUUGAUCACGCAUGCUCCCUUGGCGUCCAGCUCUUUUUUCCCCCACCACAUCAUUUCUCCUAAGUUGGAAAGUCAAGGAAAAGCCCGAGCGAAGUGUUGGCCACAGUUAAACCAAUCAUUCGGGGAAAGCCAUCUCAUAUUUAAAAUGCCUGUGGUAUCAAGGUGAAGAUUGAUUGGCUACAGCGCUCACAAACAAGUGACGAGGAUUCGACUGGACAUUUGUGAAAUUCUGGGACAGAAAGCGUUUCUCGUGUGUCCAUGUGGUGGGCAAGGGGAGACGUGCCCUCCAGCCCUUUGAAACACGAGGCUUCAGAGAUAACAUUUCACACCCAAUAGCGGUGCCCAACCAUGCAGCCCACAUGAAAUAAGCCCUCGGCCUUUAGUUUUGGCUUUCAUUUUUUUUUCAGGCUGUUGACAGCCGUUUCAGAAUGUGCUGGAAAAUGCAUCUGAAACCGCACACUGCUGUAAACAUAUCUGAAACAACCCACUCCUAUGACAGUCCCUGUCUUUGGGUACACUGCAGAUACAUGCAAAAGAGAUCAGAC